This 1642-nucleotide long non-coding RNA is filed under the name Eucalyptus grandis. RNAcentral's name for it is "long non-coding RNA (EGRA_LNC001810)". Lineage: Eukaryota; Viridiplantae; Streptophyta; Magnoliopsida; Myrtales; Myrtaceae. The record is from RNAcentral.
GACCGUACACCUGUCACGUCGAUUUUUUUAUUAUUUUUCGAAAAAAAAAGAAAGAGUGGGGGCCAAAAGAAGGAAAAAGCCGGGAAAUCGAAGACGGACACGUGUCGGGCUCCUCUUGGCGUACAGAUUGGUGCACGUGGGGCCCCACGCCCCGGCCGAGGAACGAGCCAGGGCAUCUUCGCCGCACUCAUGGCAGCACGAUCGCGCGUGAUUUGCACGACACGCGAUGGCCGCUUACCUUCCGCACGCCGCCCCCCUCCCCCCCCCGGGGGGGGGAAAUCAAGCCCCACUCGCCGCGAUCCGGCGGUGUCCUCCACGCGCCGCGGCCGUCGGGGAGCGGCGCACGCGACCGGCCAUUCAUCUGGCACGGCGGCGCGUGAGGGGCUGCCGCCGCGAAACUGAAGGAGCCGGUCGCUUUCGUGGACCAGAUCCGAAGCGUCAAACGGGGCACGACGUCGCUUUUACGACCCGGACCGAGAAAAAAAAAAAAUAAAUUGCCAAUUAUUACUUUUCACCCCUCGCCCCACGCCAAAGACGACGACCCCCGUCGGUCGUUUUUACACCGUCCUCUUUCCCCACCGAGACGCGUUCUUGCGCUUCUCUUCCUCGACCCCGAAACGACGCAAGGCGACACGCGUUUUUCUUCCCCUUCCGAAAAAUCCCCGGCUGGGCCCCGCCAACAGAAAAACCACAGCUGUUGUACCAACGAAAUCGCCAGCUGUGCACCCCGGGCAGCUGCCCGUGCAGCCCGCUCUCUCUUUCUAUAUAUAUGGGCGCUCUGCACCAGCUUUGUUUUUACUCUGCCUACUCUCUUGCACUCGAAAACCCUAGCUCUCUCUCUGUCUCUCAAGCUCUCCUAACCUCUCUCAAACCUCGAGAUCGCGACAAUGGCGGCCGUGAAGUUCGCGAACGUGGCCGCGGUGGCCCUCCUCGUCGCCGCCAUGGCGGUCGCCGCGACCGCCCAGGAGGCGCCGGCGCCCAGCCCCGUCUCCCCGGCCAGCUCCGUCACCCCGUCCAUCCUCUCCGCCGGAGUGGCUGCCGUCGCGGCCCUCGUCUUCGGGUCAGCACUCAGGAUCUGAAGCGGCGCGCCGAUCUUCCGGAGCACGGGGACAGAGAUUUUUUCUAUAUAGUUUCCGGGUGUCUGCAGCACUCUAUUAUCACUAGUAGCCGUGGUAGGGAUGAUAUAUUUACGGUGGUUGUUCUGAUGUGGGUUUUCUCUCUAGGCGAUUUUUUUACUCGGUGGAUCCGGGAGUCCCUUCCUUCCUCCUUCGUUGGCGUCGCUGCUGUGUGUUCUUUUCCUGGUUUGAGAGUCUUUUGAGUCGAGUACAUACUCCUGGUGGUGCUUCUGCUUCUUAGUUAGAGAGAGUCUCGUGCACAGUCGUGAUGAUGUCAUAGAUCUAUUGCUUUAUCAUGUACCUCAGACAUAUAUAUUUCCACAUAUAUAUAUUAUUAUAAAUAACAGAUUCGUUUCAUGAAACUUCUCCUUCUUCUUCAUCCUCUUACUCAAUGUCGCGAUCUUGAUGCGUGUCGUCUGUCGAUGUGGUUAUGGCUUCGAAAAAAAAAGGGUAGAAUUCCACGGGAAAGGGACUUCCUUUCGGGAGUGGCGCUUGCGUGAGAACAGUGAAUGCUUCGUGGGUGCGUU